RNAcentral lists this long non-coding RNA (432 nucleotides) under Capsella rubella. Its description in RNAcentral is "long non-coding RNA (CRUB_LNC004667)". Lineage: Eukaryota; Viridiplantae; Streptophyta; Magnoliopsida; Brassicales; Brassicaceae. The record is from RNAcentral.
UGUUUAGGGUAUGCUGUGGGUUUGUGUUUGAACGGAUGAUGUUGCAGACAGCAGCUUGGUGGGAAAAGGAUUUGGAAGUUGAGGUGAGGUAUCAUCUGAAGUGAUUGGCUUAGUCGAAUCAUUCAAAGUUCUGAUAAUUAGUCUCUCAUAGUCUCAUGUCAUGUUUUCUUUAUUGCAAGGUGCAAGGUCUUGUAUAAACUAAUUUUGGUGUAUUAAUACAUGGAAAAAAAAAAAUAGAAAAGCUCGAAUCUAUUUGUUCUGCAAAAAAAAACAUAAAGUUUUAUGGCUAAAGAAGCUUUUGGAAACUCCAUCAUUUUAGUGGGAGAAUCACAGAAAAGAUUGGUCGUCAAUUAUUUCUUUUAUUAAUCAGGCAGGAUGCACAUGAUGAUUGAUUAUUAACCAUAAUAUAAUAAUAAUGUAGACGAAGACGAC